UACAGAGGGGGCAAGCGUUGUUCGGAAUUACUGGGCGUAAAGGGCGCGUAGGCGGCCACCUAAGUCGGACGUGAAAUCCCUCGGCUCAACCGGGGAACUGCGUCUGAUACUGAGUGGCUUGAAUUCGGGAGAGGAAUGCGGAAUUCCAGGUGUAGCGGUGAAAUGCGUAGAUAUCUGGAGGAACACCGGUGGCGAAGGCGGCAUUCUGGACCGACAUUGACGCUGAGGCGCGAAAGCGUGGGGAGCGAACAGG
Molecule: ribosomal RNA, 253 nt
Filed under: uncultured bacterium
Lineage: Bacteria
Description: partial 16S ribosomal RNA
Rfam family: Bacterial small subunit ribosomal RNA
Source: RNAcentral